Molecule: transfer RNA, 73 nt
Filed under: Ovis aries (sheep)
Lineage: Eukaryota; Metazoa; Chordata; Mammalia; Artiodactyla; Bovidae
Rfam family: tRNA
About the family: Transfer RNA (tRNA) molecules are approximately 80 nucleotides in length. Their secondary structure includes four short double-helical elements and three loops (D, anti-codon, and T loops).
Source: Rfam by way of RNAcentral
UCCCUGGUGGUCCAGCGGUUAGGACUCCACACUCUCACUGCCAAGGGCCUGGGUUCAAUACCUGGUUGGGGAA